UCCUGGUUAACCCAGGCAGUCUCUCUAGAGUGCCCAACUGAAUGCUGGCAACUAAAGAUAGGGGUUGCGCUCGUUGCGAGACUUAACCCAACAUUUCACAACACGAGCUGACGACAGCCAUGCAGCACCUCUCACUGAAUUCCCCGAAGGGCACCCUCGGCAUUACCCAAGGUUCUCAGGAGUUCAAGCCCAGGUAAGGUUUUGCGCGUUGCUUCGAAUUAAACCACAUGAUCCACCGCUUGUGCGGGCCCCCGUCAAUUCCUUUGAGUUUUAGUCUUGCGACCGUACUUCCCAGGCGGAGUACUUAAUGCGUUAGCUUCGUCACGGAAGGAGUCAAUACCCCCCAUAACUAGUACUCAUCGUUUACGGCGUGGACUAC
This 379-nucleotide unclassified non-coding RNA is filed under the name uncultured Bacteriovoracaceae bacterium. RNAcentral describes it as "contains 16S-23S intergenic spacer region". Lineage: Bacteria; Pseudomonadati; Bdellovibrionota; Bacteriovoracia; Bacteriovoracales; Bacteriovoracaceae. The record is from RNAcentral.